AUGACUGACAUUUGUUUGUGUGUGGCCCUGAUCCUCUUCCUCUUUGCACAGAUAUCAAGCACGGAGCUUUGCUAUAGUUGACGUCAGUGGCAUUUUAUCAGCCAAAGAGCAGACAGAAGUGCAGGUACAGCUGACAGAGGAGGCAGGUUGUGCGAGCAAAAAUAUGCAUUUGCUGUUACCAAAAUGGAACUUAUGCUUGUCUCUUUGCAGCUAUAGUCCUUUGAAGCAUUACAGAACCCUGUGAUAACCUAGAUGUUAGAGACGGUAUAAUCACUUAGAGAGUUAAUGUGCAUAAACACAUAUAAAAUGAUUGUUUGCAUUAUUCCUGCACAGUCUUUGUACUGUAUUACUGCAUAAAUCAGAUCUAUUUUACUUUCAUUUGCUAAUCCUUCUACUCUUUUGGGAGCAUCUCAGUGAAUGAAUACACAUUCCAUAUCCUUACAGCCUUAAAAACAAAUGUAUGUUCACAGAUACAUCUUCGAGAAUUUUUUUGCCACAAAGCAUAUUAUUCAAUGUAAUUAUGUAAGAUGCAUGACAAAUCUGAGUGCAAAGGGGCGUGUCAGACAGCAAGUCUUAACAGGAAAACUCAAAGCUUACACAUAGGUCCUGUACUUCUUUGGUGGCAGCUGCAGUCCUCUGAAGGUCAUAAUCCGUCCUGUCUUGCUCCUGCUGGUACCCAAGAGCAUAUGGCAGCCUUUGCAUGGAUGAGACAGUCACAAGUCAUCCCCAUGCAGAAACCAGGAGAAAAAUCAGCAGGAUCAUUUGGAGCAUAUGGAUCCAACGAGGCUUGAAACCUGCCUGAGUGGAGGAGUACGGCAUGCUCAGCUGGUAGCAAACGGCUGUAUUUCUCAGAGAGGAUGAUCCUGCGAAAAGUGGGGUGGAAACUGGUGGCUCCCAGAGGGUUAAGGCUCAUGCUAGCUGGAAGUGAAGGCUACUUUAUAUAGUGAGAGGACAACCCAGAGGGAGUAUGUGAGAUGCUGCCUCAGUAUUAAGCAAUAAUUUAGCAGCCUCCUGUGGGGAAAAAUCCGUGUCACAUUAGGGAGAAGCUGCAUGGCAGACAAGAGAUGUGUUUACAAAUAUUUUUCCUUUGAUUAUUUAGAGACUUCUUGCAAAGCCACAUUGUACUUUGCUUUGGACACCACAGCAGACAAACACCGACUCAAAGGGUUCAUAAAACGCUAAAAGGGGCACGAAGCACACAUGGAAGUUCUUCUUGCAAGGCCAAAAUCCAAUGGCAGAUACAAAGUAUGUACAUAGUUUUCUUUCAUGAUAACAUAGUCCUGUCUGUGUUGGUUAUCAUGCACCCAGAGAGCUGCCUCGCAGGCACGCUGCAUCUUUUUGCCAGCCUUUGACUACAUUUAGCAUGUAGAACUGGUUCUGUACAGGCACACGUUAUAGAGGCACCAGCCCUCACCAUAUAGAACAGUUUGACAGUUCUUACUUGCUGCACUAAGGUCAGCCAUGGCUCUCUGUACAUAUUUGUAUUUCAAUCCUGGCCCAGCAGCCUUGCAGAUGGAUGCAGAGCUCACGUAUGGCAUGGACACCAGCGGUGCUGGGGAGGAGGGACUCUGUGGUGUCCAAAAGUGAUUAGCUUUACUUCCAAAAGGGGAAUUCAGAGAGAAAAUGCAUUGCAGCACUUGGUCCUGGCACUAGCUGUAAUGUAGAUGUCUGUCUGAUGGGCACUGGUCUAAGACCAACAAAAUGCGAUUCAUACAGGCCACUGAGCAGCUUCUCAUGUUAAUGACUUUUGAAUGCCAGUGGCCUGAAUUGCAUCUGUAUUUUAUUAACACUGUUUACAGAGGGAGUAGAAUUCCAGAUGGAGCAUAAAGUACCUUUUUUCUUGUUCUUCCCAUAAUUGCAAAUGCUCAAAUUGCACUUGUAGCUGUUUUAUGACUUGAUAUUGACCUUACACUCUUUGCAUUUUCUACAGCGGAACACUGCAAUUUCUAGGGAGUAGAAAGGUUAUACAGAACUGGUCAAUGCUCUGUGUGAUGCAAAUAAAAAUAAAGUUGUGAGUGUUUAAGCAAGUAUUUCUUUCCAUUUGGCCUUUGAAUUUUUAUUGCUUCCAGCCAGGUCACUUGAAAUGAAAUUGUCCUUCACAGUUCAAGCUAUGGUUGCCUUACAGAUGGCAUAAAGACAGUGCUUUAAGGUCAUUAGAGCCCUGAAGAUGUUAGAGCAGUCCAGAUGAUUUGCAUCUCUAAGGGAAAGGCUUUUAUUUCUGAACUGUUCACCUAAUACUGAUUUGAAAAUGUACCUUUUUCUUCUUCUUCUCAUGAAAACGCCUGUGCCAAGAAUUAGAAAAAGCCUUACUUACAGCCUUGAUGCGUCACCUCUCCAGCAGCUCCCUGACCUGCUGCACUUUGGGUGGCAAUGAUGGCAAAGAAAGAAAGGAGCACUUUGGGCCUCGGAGCUACCAUCGAUCUCAGACAAGGUGAGGGGAAGGAGGCGGGUGCCUCAGCUCCAGAUCCGGGACCAGAUGCACCAUCUGCUUUGUACUGCACUAUCCUGAUGGGAAGACAGCCAUUUCCACUGACAGCUCUGGAGUGGAGGAGACUUUUUCCACUUUCCUGCUUGCUCCUAGUGGGGAAUGCUGUGCAGCCUCCUGGAAGUUGGAAUGCUUAUUGCGUGUGUUACUGAUGCUCCUGCACGUCCCCUGUCAGGGAAUCCGCGCAAUGCUUCUCAGAAAUAAUUUGUUUCUGCGCUGGAUCUACUUUUGCACAACGGGGAUACUUGCCUCUAUCAAACCGGUGGUCGAAAUCCGAGGUCGGCGCGUGCAGGAGGAGAGUGAACUUCCCGGGGAUGCCUUUAGAUGUCUCCCUUCCUCGUCUGUUCGGCGAUGACAGCAGGGGCUGGGCUGCCUGCGGGUUGGGCUGCAGAGCAGUCAGAUUGCCUCGGAGGGUAAACGAGGAUUUUUGAAAACCUUCUAAAGCAAAAGUUAAUGGAAAAGAGAGCCUCGUUGCUCACAGAUACGUCAUUACUUUCUCAGGCGUUUAUGAACAAAUAAAAUGCAUCUACUACAUGGGAGAAGAGUUCUUCCCCUGUGCCCCACGCUCCAGCCCUACCCCCAAGCAAUUGUCUUACUUAUUACAAUUUCAACAUCUCUUCUCUUUGAAGUACAACCUGUUGUUUCGUUAUAUUAUUUCCAUUCAUGCUGUGGAAAUAAAACUUACGACAGUGUCGAUUUCUCAGAUCCGCUUGUAGACUUGGAAAUUUGCAUCAGAUUAUUCUAAUCACUUAGCCUUGUUGUAUAUAUUUACACAAGCACUUUUGAUGUUUAAACAGACCAGGCUGUAAUGAGAUAGGCGCGGGGAAAUAAAUACCCCAAAGAAAAGGAAUGUUCUCUUUUUUUCAGGCCGCUUCCUAAACUAGAAAUGUUCAGCUAAAACAGUGGGUCAGUGCCUUUGGGACCUGAGGGAAUGACUCUAAGGGUGGAAGCACGGAGGGAUGGAUCUGCCUUCAGAUGCACUGGGCAGAGAGAAGAGCACCUGGGUGCCUGUGAGGGUGAGGAGCGUGCUGAGGACUUGUCCUUCUGUGCCCUUUGUUACAGCUGUAAGCCGCCUCCUUGGCCAUCCUGGCACAAGAAACUAUCCCACAUGAACCCUAGAUGUCAAUAUGCAUUGACACAAGUUUCUAGAGGCUGAGCAGGAAGAGGAUCAGCUCCACUGAUUUCAGUGGCAACAGUUGCAGAAACAGCAAAAAGUCCUGGGACUGACUGUGGUGCAAUUGUGCUGGCUCAGCUCCAGACAUGCAGGAAGUCCUGCAGCAUUGUGUUCCUGCAGGCAGGAGGCCUGGUAAGCACAGCAGCCACGCAAUCAGGUUAACUCAGUCUUGAGGCCGGCUCCAUUAGAUCAAGAACAACAGGCAAACAGAAGCAGCCCAUACAUAGCAAAUGUAGAAAAAGGUGGAGAAGUAGACCAGGUGAAGGAGAGACAGGAAUCUUAUGGACUGAAGAAGACAAGAAAUCUUACCCUAAGAUGCAGGAAAUUGCCAAUUGUUUCAUUUACAGUUUAGCUUCACAAAGGCCAGGGGAUCGUAUUUACAUUUGCAUGAUAGAACACAAAGAAUACUUGCAAUUCUUGAAAUAGCAGAAAGGGGGAACAUUCUGGAUGACCCUGUUGUUAACGUAGUCUUGAAGUGGAAUCUGGAACAAAUCAGCCAUUACACAAUAAACCACUCAAAAGACUACAAAAAACUGCGUGUCAGCACAGUUUUAAUUUUGUAACGGGAGUUAGUGAAGUUUGUGUGUAAGAACUUAAAGAAAGAAAAAGAGAAGCUUGUUCUGAGAAGAUGCACUUCCAUAAACUCAGUGACAGAUGAGAGCAGACUUUGUAACUCUCACACUGAAAGUGAUCUAUCCACUUAGACAUGCAAAUGUCAUUUUGAAUAAGUCUAACAUUUUGAAUUGUCAACGGUGGGAAGAGGUUUCUCUAAAGGCAAGUUGUAUUCUUCAGUUAUCCUAAGCUUGUAAACCAUGUAGAACCAAGGGGGAAAAAAAAGAACAAAAUUGAAAGAUUCUGCUUUACUAGCAUUUGGUGACUGAAAGAUUCCGCUUUACUAGCAUUUGGUGACUGAAAGAGCUCAUUAAGAUAACAUUUUCCACUUUAUAACCGCUUCACAAGCAAAUAUUCCUGGCAGCACUGCUCCUCUCAUACUUAGGGAUACUUUAAAGAGGAUGGCCAGGACCUUUGCCUGGGCCAGAAGAGAAGCAAGCGCAUGGCCAGUGCUGGCUGGGCAGUCUCUGAGCACAUUCCUCUGCCCUCCAUGGAUGCAGCAGCAGUAACACCCCAGGGCUUUCAUUCUAGCUGACUUGUUUUGUCUUAUUCCUAACUUGCAAGUUAUAUGCCUUGUUGCACCGGUAACUUCAUGAGACUCUGUGACCCACUUGAAGCAUGGUCAGAGACUAAUGGUCCCUCUUCACCUUAAAGGACAUGCACUUGUGAAAUGAUCAGAAGUACCUGGAGAUUCACAACUUUUCUCCUUCACAGAAGUAUCCCAAGACAUAGAUAGCACACACAGUGGGAACCAUGUUAUUUUCCCUCAGCAGCAACUGAUUCAGCAGCACCAUCUUGACCUAUGCCAGCUACUGCUUCAGCUCCUUGCCUGUAGGAGAGAGACAAAUGGACUUUGAUAGCUAUCCAACAUGAGCAGAACUCUCCCAUGGUGGACAGGUUUGGAAUACUCCAGGUCUAACAAAAUGGGAGCUCCUAUCAGUUCCACCCUGAGGUCUCAUGGAUGCCUCGAGUAGCUUUGCAGCUCCAUUGUGACAUUACACCAAUUUUCCAUCAUGACCAGCAUGAUCCUACUUGGAUAUUCCAGGUGGUGCCCUGUCCCUACCUCCUAAGGGAUAGCUCAUGUCUGACAGCAAAAGCAGAUUUCAAUGAUGUUCUUGAUUUAAAUCCAGAAAACAACAUCUUGAUGAACUCAUGCUCCUGGUUAUUAGUAGAGACUACCAGAUUGCUGCACAUCAGGGAGGGGAACUGCAUUUUCCUUCUCAACUUCUUGUAACCUAAAGGAGUAGAAAGACUGCUUUAUGCUUAUGGUCGAUAGGGUGCACGGUGUGCACAGAGAAAUCACACUUCAUCUUGCAAAUUU
Gallus gallus (chicken) is the source of this 5592-nucleotide long non-coding RNA. Lineage: Eukaryota; Metazoa; Chordata; Aves; Galliformes; Phasianidae. The record is from Ensembl.